Molecule: ribosomal RNA, 253 nt
Filed under: uncultured bacterium
Lineage: Bacteria
Description: partial 16S ribosomal RNA
Rfam family: Bacterial small subunit ribosomal RNA
Source: RNAcentral
UACGAAGGGGGCUAGCGUUGUUCGGAAUCACUGGGCGUAAAGCGCACGUAGGCGGCGCGUUAAGUCAGGGGUGAAAUCCUGGAGCUCAACUCCAGAACUGCCUUUGAUACUGGGGUGCUCGAGUGUGGGAGAGGUGGGUGGAACUCCGAGUGUAGAGGUGAAAUUCGUAGAUAUUCGGAAGAACACCAGUGGCGAAGGCGGCCCACUGGCCCGAUACUGACGCUGAGGUGCGAAAGCGUGGGGAGCAAACAGG